Coffea arabica (coffee) is the source of this 1520-nucleotide non-coding RNA. The record is from RefSeq and is a predicted model, not a curated record. Lineage: Eukaryota; Viridiplantae; Streptophyta; Magnoliopsida; Gentianales; Rubiaceae.
GUUUUCCUAAUUUUUCACUGUUUGGAUUCAAUUUGAUUUGAAAAUAUUUCUGACGAAAAAUAACUUACACCGAAGAAGGAAAAUAGCGUCCUUUACUUUCUUAAAAUCACGGCCUCUUCUUUUCAUAGCUUUCACAGGAUUGAAGACCAAUGAUUGAAAACCCAUCGGCAAACCAAUUCCUUCUUCACUGGCAGCAUCUCCAGUUCCGGCGAAAACCCAUUUCCAGAGCCACAACGGUUCAUCCCCGCUCGGGCAGCGACAUCUCAUCCCCAUUCCUGCAACAGCAUUUCCAACAAGGGCAAAGACUCCUCAAAUAUUUCCAGAGCCAUGAAUGAUGACUUAUUCAAUCUGCGAUCAUAGAGUAGAAGAGCAUCCUCAUAAAUUUGUCCGAUUUUGCUGGCAAAUUUGCAUGUGGGUCUUCUCGUACACUAGCUUUUGAGAAGGUUAAUUUGCUGCAGUGAUUUAUAUGGUAGUGCAGUUCUUUGGAGAUGACAAAAAAAAUUGGUGAUCAAGCUGGCAAAAUGUUCGAAUAUUUUGGGACUUUCUUGAGAAAAGGUAUUUUUUCAGUUCUUUCGGUUGGACCUGUUCCUGAUCACAUUGCAUUUAUUAUGGAUGGAAAUCGAAGAUACGCUAAGAAGAGGAAUUUGUUAGAUGGUGCUGGCCAUAGGUCUGGGUAUUUAGCUCUCAUGAACAUGCUUAAAUACUGUUAUGAGUUAGGUGUGAAGUAUGUUACAAAUUACGCCUUCAGCAUUGACAAUUUUAGAAGACGUCCUGAAGAAGUUCAGUCCACUAUGUAGUUGAUACUAGAGAAAAUUGAAAAUUUGAUUAAGGAGGAGAGCAUGGUCAAUCAGAACGGCGUUAGGAUUUACUUUCUAGGUAGUCUUAAACUUUUGAGCAAGCCUAUAAGGUUGGCCGCAGAGAGGGCCAUGGUUGCUACUUCUGGGAAUUCAAAAUCUGUGCUGUCAAUUUGUCUUGCCUACACUUCCUCAGAUGAAAAUUUGCAUGCUGUUCAAGAGUGUUGUGAAGAAAAAUGGGAUGAAGGGAGUGCAUUGGAGUCAAAAGGAGCUGGAAAUGGUUUUGUUUUUCUGAAAGGAAACAAGAAUGGCAAGAUCAAGCCUUCAAUCGUAGUCAAGGAUUUAGAGAAACAUAUGUAUGCUGCAGUUACACCUGAUCCUGAUAUAAUUAUAUGUACUUUUGGUGAGACUCGAUUGAGUAACUUUCUUUUGUGGCAAAGUGCUAACUGUCUUUUAUAUGCACCCCCUAUACUUUGGCCAGAGAUUGGUCUUUGGCAUUUGGUUUGGGUGGUCUUGGAUUUUCAAAGAAAUUUCUCUUAUUUGAAGGAGAAAACUAAGCUAUCAUAAGUUAGUUGGUAAGAGUUUUGUUACUAUUUUUGUAACUCAUUAUAUGGUUUUGUUGAUUGGUCUUUUAACUGAUUUCCACUUUCAUGAGACAAAAACAAACAGGGGACAGAAUUUUGUUUUUGUGUCCCUGUCCUCAAUAUAGUGAUGACACAUUUCACA